RNAcentral lists this transfer RNA (80 nucleotides) under Rhizobium sp. BK077. RNAcentral describes it as "tRNA-OTHER". The record is from RNAcentral. RNAcentral also lists the same sequence under 2 other names. Lineage: Bacteria; Pseudomonadati; Pseudomonadota; Alphaproteobacteria; Hyphomicrobiales; Rhizobiaceae.
GAUUUCGAGGGUUGUUGAAAAUGCCAUGAACAAAAUUUGUAAUCAGGGGGUCCCGGGUUCGAACCCUGGCGGGGGCACCA